RNAcentral lists this ribosomal RNA (512 nucleotides) under uncultured bacterium. Its description in RNAcentral is "bacterial SSU rRNA". It matches the Rfam family "Bacterial small subunit ribosomal RNA", at positions 34 to 518 of the family's 1533-position model. The record is from RNAcentral.
CGCUGGCGGCGUGCCUAAUACAUGCAAGUCGAACGGUCUUUCUAUGGAAGCUUGCUUCCACUGAAAAGAUAGUGGCGAACGGGUGAGUAACACGUGGGGUAACCUGCCCAUAAGAGGGGGAUAACAUCCGGAAACGGGUGCUAAUACUGCAUAGUUUUCUUGAUCGCAUGAUCGGGAAGGAAAGACGGCCUUUGUGCUGUCGCUUAUGGAUGGACCCGCGGCGUAUUAGUUAGUUGGUGAGGUAACGGCUCACCAAGACGAUGAUACGUAGCCGACCUGAGAGGGUGAUCGGCCACAUUGGGACUGAGACACGGCCCAAACUCCUACGGGAGGCAGCAGUAGGGAAUCUUCCGCAAUGGACGAAAGUCUGACGGAGCAACGCCGCGUGAGUGAAGAAAAGGUUUUCGGAUCGUAAAACUCUGUUGUCAGAGAAGAACAAGUUGGAGAGUAACUGCUCCAGCCUUGACGGUAUCUGACCAGAAAGCCACGGCUAACUACGUGCCAGCCGCCGC